This 119-nucleotide ribosomal RNA is filed under the name Pteropus alecto (black flying fox). Lineage: Eukaryota; Metazoa; Chordata; Mammalia; Chiroptera; Pteropodidae. The record is from RNAcentral.
GUCUACGUCCAUGCCACCCUGAAUGAGCCCGAUCUCAACUGAUCUCGGAAGCUAAGUGGGGUCACGCCUGGUUAGCACUUGGAUGGGAGACCACCUAGGAAGACCAGGGCCUGUAGGCG